RNAcentral lists this ribosomal RNA (477 nucleotides) under uncultured bacterium. Its description in RNAcentral is "bacterial SSU rRNA". It matches the Rfam family "Bacterial small subunit ribosomal RNA", at positions 365 to 832 of the family's 1533-position model. The record is from RNAcentral.
UUCGCAAUGCCCGAAAGGGUAACGAAGCGACGCCGCGUGUGGGAAGAAGGCCUUCGGGUUGUAAACCACUGUCGGGAGUUAAGAAAUACAAGGAUAUUAAUAGUGUCUUUGUUUGACUAAGGCUCCGGAGGAAGCCACGGCUAACUCUGUGCCAGCAGCCGCGGUAAUACAGAGGCGGCAAGCGUUGUUCGGAAUUAUUGGGCGUAAAGAGCACGUAGGCGGCUAUGUAAGUCGGUUGUGAAAGCCUUCCGCUCAACGGAAGAACAGCAUCCGAUACUACAUGGCUUGAGUGCGGGAGGGGAGAGUGGAACUUCUGGUGGAGCGGUGAAAUGCGUAGAUAUCAGAAGGAACGCCGGCGGCGAAAGCGGCUCUCUGGCCCAUAACUGACGCUGAGUGUGCGAAAGCUAGGGGAGCAAACGGGAUUAGAUACCCCGGUAGUCCUAGCCGUAAACGAUGGGCACUAAGUAGAGGGGUUUU